Long non-coding RNA from Thalassophryne amazonica, 163 nucleotides. RefSeq lists it as uncharacterized. The transcript is spliced from 3 exons. The record is from RefSeq and is a predicted model, not a curated record. Lineage: Eukaryota; Metazoa; Chordata; Actinopteri; Batrachoidiformes; Batrachoididae.
ACGCGAAGCUAACACUUAAAGAAAAAGUGACGAUGUGGUGGAAAGUGGACAUGUUUUGUGGUUUGUUUAUGACCCGGAGCUCAAAUGUGUCGAGGCGGUUGUACAUGUGAGAGAACGCAACUACUCUGGUUAGCUCUGUAGGCUAACACCUACCGACACGACC